GAUGAAGAACGUAGCGAAAUGCGAUACGUAAUGUGAAUUGCAGAAUUCAGUGAAUCAUCGAAUCUUUGAACGCAUAUUGCGCUCUUUGGUAUUCCGAAGAGCAUGCUUGUUUGAGUAUCAGUAAACACCUCAAAGCUUUUGAAUUUUUUAAUCGAAAAGCUUUGGACUUGAGCAAUCCCAACACCAAUCUUUUUGAGAUCGGUGGCGGGUUGCUUGAAAUGCAGGUGCAGCUGGACAUUCUCCUGAGCUAAAAGCAUAUUCAUUUAGUCCCGUCAAACGGAUUAUUACUUUUGCUGCAGCUAACAUAAAGGGAGUUUGACCGUAUUGGCUGACUGAUGCAGGAUUUCACAAGGGUCGGCAACGAUUCUUGUUAAACUCGAUCUCAAAUCAAGUAAGACUACCCGCUGAACUUAAGCAUAUCAAUAAGCGGAGGA
This 434-nucleotide unclassified non-coding RNA is filed under the name soil metagenome. RNAcentral describes it as "partial contains 5.8S ribosomal RNA, internal transcribed spacer 2, and large subunit ribosomal RNA". The stretch from base 1 to 120 matches the Rfam family "5.8S ribosomal RNA", at positions 35 to 154 of the family's 154-position model. The record is from RNAcentral.